CUACGGGAUGCUCCAGUAGGGAAUAUUGGACAAUGGGCGAAAGCCUGAUCCAGCAACGCCGCGUGUGCGAUGACGGCCUUCGGGUUGUAAAGCACUUUUAGAGGAGAUGAGAAAGGACAGUAUCCUCAGAAUAAGCCUCGGCGAACUACGUGCCAGCAGCCGCGGUAAAACGUAGGAGGCAAGCGUUAUCCGGAUUUAUUGGGCGUAAAGCGCGUGCAGGCGGUCUAGCAAGUUGGAUGUGAAAGCUCCCGGCUUAACCGGGAGAGGUCGUUCAAUUCUGUUAGACUAGAGAAUGGGAGAGGGAGGUGGAAUUCUGGGUGUAGUGGUGAAAUGCGUAGAUAUCCAGAGGAACACCAGUGGCGAAAGCGGCCUCCUGGACCAUUUCUGACGCUAAGACGCGAAAGCUAGGGUAGCAAACGGGAUUAGAUACCCUCGUAGUC
RNAcentral lists this ribosomal RNA (440 nucleotides) under uncultured bacterium. RNAcentral describes it as "partial 16S ribosomal RNA". It matches the Rfam family "Bacterial small subunit ribosomal RNA", at positions 339 to 795 of the family's 1533-position model. The record is from RNAcentral.